RNAcentral lists this ribosomal RNA (505 nucleotides) under uncultured bacterium. RNAcentral describes it as "partial 16S ribosomal RNA". It matches the Rfam family "Bacterial small subunit ribosomal RNA", at positions 28 to 507 of the family's 1533-position model. The record is from RNAcentral.
GACGAACGCUGGCGGCGUGCCUAAUACAUGCAAGUAGAACGCACAGUUUAUACCGUAUCUUGCUAUCCCAUAGACUGUGAGUUGCGAACGGUUGAGUAACGCGUAGGUAACCUGCCUGGCAUCGGGGGAUAACUAUUGGUAACGCUAGCUAAUACCGCAUAAUAUUAAUUAUUGCAUGAUAAUUAAUUUAACGGUUCAAUUUCACCACUACUAGCUGGACCUGCGUUGUAUUAGCUAGUAGGUGAGGUAACGGCUCACCUAGGCCACGAUACAUAGCCGAGCUGGGGAGGUGGACCGCCAACAUGGGACUGGAGAACGGCCCAGAAUCCCACGGGAGGCCACAGUAGGGGAAUUUCGGCAAUGGACGAAAGGCUGACCGAGCAAAGGCGCGGGAGUGGAGGAGGUUUUCGGGUUGGAAAAGUCUGUUGUAAGAGAAGAACGGGUGUGAGGGUAGAAAGUUCACACUGUGACGGUAUCUUAAGAGAAAGGGACGGCUAACUACGUG